Long non-coding RNA from Pipra filicauda (Wire-tailed manakin), 910 nucleotides. RefSeq lists it as uncharacterized. The transcript is spliced from 3 exons. NCBI's taxonomy places the organism in Eukaryota, Metazoa, Chordata, Aves, Passeriformes, Pipridae. The record is from RefSeq and is a predicted model, not a curated record.
GGGCGCAGCUGGGGCGGCCGGGGGGGGCGCGGGACCGAGACCUGUCCCGCACAGACCCCGCACAGACCCCGCACAGACCCCGCACAGACCCCGCACAGACCCCGCACAGACCCGCAGCGCCGUCCUGAAUGAAGGGCUGGCGGGGACAAUGACCCCUCGUUUCUAGGGUAAGUGGAGAGAAGUCAGAAAAGGCAUGAGAUGAGAAGACAACAGAUGAAAGGGAAAUGCUCAGAGAGAUGGAGCUCCCAGGGAAAUGGAGGAGCUGGCUUACUUCAAGAGAAGUUCAAGAAUGAACACAACUGGUUUGCUGUCAGUUUUUAGUACUGGCUGCAGCUCAUGGGCAAUAAUGGCACCAGCAGUGGUGAAGCAGCAUUGUAUAGCAAACAAGUAGACCUCAGUGACCCUCAACAACAGGAUAACAACACUUGGAUUUCCAAGGGACUUCUACCCACACUGAAGGAGGGAAUUGCUUUUUUUCCCUUCUUCAUUAUUCUGCAACAUUGCUCUGCUUAUCUUGAAAUACUCUAAAUAAAUACCCACUUCUGACACAGCUAGCUAAAUAAGGACAGACAGUUGCUAAAUCUCUGUCAUAAUUACAGCAGGCACCUGUUCAUGGCCACUAAAACCGAUGUUGCUAACACGUUUCCACAAUAACUUCAUGCUCAAAAUUUUCCAACCAACUAUCUUUUGGGAAGAAAUUUUCCACAUUUGGCCUCUGCUUGAGAGGACUUUUUUUUUUCUUCGAGGCUUGAGAAAAAUGAUGCCAGCUGUUCUUGAGCACAGCAUGAAUUAUAAAGUUAUGCCUCUGAAGUAAAAAGAACUUCCCAGGCUGCACCAAGCUGAAAUAUAAAGCUUGCUCUAGACCCUUCUGAAGAGCAAACUUUUUCUUAGUGUUAUACUAGAUGUUGAU